Small nucleolar RNA from Diospyros lotus (date-plum), 90 nucleotides. RefSeq annotates it as small nucleolar RNA snoR27. The record is from RefSeq and is a predicted model, not a curated record. The transcript has a single exon. Lineage: Eukaryota; Viridiplantae; Streptophyta; Magnoliopsida; Ericales; Ebenaceae.
UAGGAUCAAUGAUGUUCAAUGAAAACUGCGUUAUCUUUCUGUAAUUCCCGAUCCAGGGUUGAAGAUAGACUUAUCAUUCUGAGAUCCAUU